AUUGAACGCUGGCGGCAUGCUUUACACAUGCAAGUCGAACGGUAACAGGCCUUCGGGUGCUGACGAGUGGCGAACGGGUGCGUAAUGCAUCGGAACGUACCCAGAGGUGGGGGAUAACGCAGCGAAAGCUGUGCUAAUACCGCAUGUGAUCUGAGGAUGAAAGCGGGGGACCGAGCAGCAAUGUUUGGCCUCGCGCCUUUGGAGCGGCCGAUGUCGGAUUAGCUAGUUGGUGGGGUAAAAGCCUACCAAGGCGACGAUCCGUAGCUGGUCUGAGAGGACGACCAGCAAAACUGGGACUGAACGAGGGCCGAGACUCUAGGGGGAGCAGGGGGGGGGGAGUUUUGAAAAGUGGCCGAAGGCAUAACCCAACAAGGCGGGGGGGGGGAGGAGGGCGUUGGGUUUGUACACUUCUUUGGGAAGGAAAGAAAGGGUGCCCGCUAAACGGGGCGAAUAGGGACGGAACCUGAAAAAAAGGCACCGGCAAAGUCCGUC
RNAcentral lists this ribosomal RNA (492 nucleotides) under uncultured bacterium. Its description in RNAcentral is "partial 16S ribosomal RNA". It matches the Rfam family "Bacterial small subunit ribosomal RNA", at positions 29 to 507 of the family's 1533-position model. The record is from RNAcentral.